GCGAGUGAAGAAACGGAUCGCUUGUCUACCCGUGGUAGUCGCUUCGCUCGCGAGGUAGGCAAGCAUCAGCGUUGAGCGUCAGGGGGAAGGAACUCUAGUGUAGUAAGAGUUAGCAGUGGUUGCGCUGGGCUAAGAAGUGUAGAAAUCGCGUUUGUUUACAAACAUGUUAUUAUUAAAACAGUGGUGAUUUUCUCUUUUGGAUUUUAUUUGUGGACGCGAUAAUUCUUGUGAUUACUGUAAUGCUUUCAAAUUCCGUGUGUACUAGUGUGUAAUUCAGUAGUACUGAAGAAAACAGAGAUAAUUAAUGCUUUAACUUUAAUAAUAAAAUCUCAAAGAUGUAAAUUAAGGAAACAUUCUUCAAUUGUUUCGUGUUAAAUAGAUCGAUUAUUAACAGACCUACGUUUUACAAGAAAGAUUUGAAUAAUUUCAAAAUUCACAUUUCGCUAUUUCUCUUAUUUCAUUUUGGACUUUACUUGUUUUGUUAUAUUCUACACUCCAUUCUGUGCUCUUCGAAUGAGGAUCUAUUAAGCCUUUGUCCAACCAAGAACAAACUACAAACCAGCAGUUGUUUGAUUUUGGAGUUGUCUCUCAUAGAGGAGUGGCUGUCCACAGCUAACGAGCCUCAUCUGCCCAGCCAGCUGGGUCGUCUGUUGGAUAUGAUAAUGACAUUUUGUCUUGUUCUGCUGUAGGGAUUUUC
Long non-coding RNA from Physella acuta, 697 nucleotides. RefSeq lists it as uncharacterized. NCBI's taxonomy places the organism in Eukaryota, Metazoa, Mollusca, Gastropoda, Physidae. The record is from RefSeq and is a predicted model, not a curated record.